This 306-nucleotide long non-coding RNA is filed under the name Ananas comosus (pineapple). Its description in RNAcentral is "long non-coding RNA (ACOM_LNC039061)". The record is from RNAcentral. Lineage: Eukaryota; Viridiplantae; Streptophyta; Magnoliopsida; Poales; Bromeliaceae.
CUGUGCAUUUCCUGCUAAUUUAUCUGCCCGUUUCCAACAGAAAAUUCUAAAUCUUCUGUUUUAAUUCCGAUUUCAGCACAGGUCAUUUUCAACUUAUAUUUCACUUCUCCAAAUUCAAUAAAAAUAGUAUCUCAUACUACUUUAUUUAUUUCUAUUUUUAUAAUUUAAAUUCGGUAUAUUACAUUACACCGCAACCUUACCGGAACCAUUUAAAUGUACACUGUAACUUCAUAUUUUUAAAAGUUCGGUACCUUACAUGGGAACUAUUUUUAAUAGUUCUCACGCCCCUGUUUUGUGGUUUUCGUU